UCGGGAAUAUUGCGCAAUGGAGGAAACUCUGACGCAGUGACGCCGCGUGCAGGAAGAAGGUUUUCGGAUUGUAAACUGCUUUAGACAGGGAAGAAAAAGACAGUACCUGUAGAAUAAGCUCCGGCUAACUACGUGCCAGCAGCCGCGGUAAUACGUAGGGAGCAAGCGUUAUCCGGAUUUAUUGGGUGUAAAGGGGUCCGUAGACGGGAAGACAAGUUAGUUGUGAAAUCCCUCGGCUUAACUGAGGAACUGCAACUAAAACUAUCAUUCUUGAGUGCUGGAGAGGAAAGUGGAAUUCCUAGUGUAGCGGUGAAAUGCGUAGAUAUUAGGAGGAACACCAGUGGCGAAGGCGACUUUCUGGACAGUAACUGACGUUGAGGCACGAAAGUGUGGGGAGCAAACAGGAUUAGAUACC
Molecule: ribosomal RNA, 415 nt
Filed under: uncultured bacterium
Lineage: Bacteria
Description: bacterial SSU rRNA
Rfam family: Bacterial small subunit ribosomal RNA
Source: RNAcentral